AACGCUGGCGGCAGGCCUAACACAUGCAAGUCGAGCGCACCCUUCGGGGUGAGCGGCGGACGGGUUAGUAACUGCGUGGGAAUAUGCCCAGAUCUGCGGAAUAGCCUCUGGAAACGGAGAGUAAUACCGCAUACGCCCUUCGGGGGAAAGAUUUAUCGGAUUUGGAUUAGCCCGCGUUGGAUUAGGUAGUUGGUGGGGUAAUGGCCUACCAAGCCGACGAUCCAUAGCUGGUUUGAGAGGAUGAUCAGCAACACUGGGACUGAGACACGGCCCAGACUCCUACGGGAGGCAGCAGUGGGGAAUCUUAGACAAUGGGGGAAACCCUGAUCUAGCCAUGCCGCGUGAGUGACGAAGGCCCUAGGGUCGUAAAGCUCUUUCAGCUGUGAAGAUAAUGACGGUAGCAGCAGAAGAAACCCCGGCUAACUCCGUGCCAGCAGCCGCGGUAAUACGGAGGGGGUUAGCGUUGUUCGGAAUUACUGGGCGUAAAGCGCGCGUAGGCGGACUAUUAAGUCGAGGGUGAAAUCCCGGGGCUCAACCCCGGAACUGCCUUCGAUACUGGUAGUCUUGAGUUCGAGAGAGGUGAGUGGAAUUCC
This 593-nucleotide ribosomal RNA is filed under the name uncultured Alphaproteobacteria bacterium. RNAcentral's name for it is "bacterial SSU rRNA". It matches the Rfam family "Bacterial small subunit ribosomal RNA", at positions 32 to 670 of the family's 1533-position model. Lineage: Bacteria; Pseudomonadati; Pseudomonadota; Alphaproteobacteria. The record is from RNAcentral.